Molecule: transfer RNA, 63 nt
Filed under: Tuxedo drakei
Lineage: Eukaryota; Metazoa; Arthropoda; Insecta; Hemiptera; Miridae
Description: tRNA-Thr
Source: RNAcentral
GUUUUAAUAGUUUAACGAAAAAUUAUGAUCUUGUAAAUCAUAGAUAGGCAAUCCUUUAAAACU